Molecule: ribosomal RNA, 504 nt
Filed under: Baliomorpha dubia
Lineage: Eukaryota; Metazoa; Arthropoda; Insecta; Trichoptera; Hydropsychidae
Description: eukaryotic LSU rRNA
Source: RNAcentral
AUCAGGGGUAAACCUGUGGAACUCGAACGAACGAACGGGGAGAUUCACCGUAUUUCCGUAAGCGAUUCAGGAUCCGCGAUGCGAUUUCGUUCUCGCGAUGGUGUGGCGUCGUUCGCGCGAUGUCCGCCGUCGCGACGGUCGCGUCGUCCGUAAGGUCCGCGGAAUGCGUGCACUUCUCCCUUAGUAAAACACCGCGACCCGUUCGAAGGAGAUCGAACGCGCCGUGCGGUUGUCCCGUUUCGAACGUCAAAAAUUCGGGACGGAGCCGCGGCGUCGCGAUCUCGAUCGGACGGUAGAGAACGAGGUGCGCGUUCGUCGUCCGGUUUCUGACCGGACCGACGUCCGUUUCGCGAGCCGUGCGAACCUCGUGCGAACCUCGACGCGUUCACGCGUCGUGGGAUUUCGUACGUUGUCUGUUCGUUCGCGUAUCGCGUCGUCUCGGACGGAACGCGUCCCGGUCUGCGGUGGUUUUGUUUCGGGCACUCACAGGACCCGUCUUGAAAC